UUGGGCUGUUAUCAGAGGUUCUUAUAUCGAACCCAGCUGGAGGCAAAUCAGUUAGUGAAUUUCUGAUAUUUACUUCAUCUCUCUCAAAUUCUCUUCUUCUUCUUACCUAAAUUCUACUUCAUCUUCCUCACUUAUAUUUCUUCUCUAUUCUCAGGUCAUCCACCAUUGCCGACUAUCUCAAGCUUGUGGUUCUAAGCUUGUAACCUUGUAACAGUUCUAUUACAGUGAUAGUUUGUAAUCUUUCAGUACAAUCAAUAAAAUUCCCAAUUUCCUUUGUUUACAUUGUGUUUGCAAUUACAUACAAUUAAGUAUCAUUAUAAUGUGGUAUAAGAGAAAAUCCUGGCCCAAAAAUGACUAUAAUAGAGACUAGAUUUAAGUCCAAUGAAGAACUAGUAAAGAAAAUUGAUGCUCAGCUUAAAACCGUAUAGCUGAGUCUAGUAAGAAGUUUGAGUCUCAUGACUCGAAGCUCGAUGAUUUGGGAAGGAAGAUGGAACUCUUGAUGGAGAAACGUAUUCCCAAUCAAGAUGGGAUACUGGGUUGUGCUUCCAGAGAUGCUCAACCAUUGGAUGGUUCGACCAGUAGGAACAGAGCAGGAGAACAAAAUGACAAUCAAUGGGGUCGAAAUCAAGGAGAUAACCGCCAUCCUCAUCUGGAUUUCCUUUCUUUGAUGGUGUUGACCCUUGUUCAUGAUUGAGAAAAGCCAAUAGAUACUUCCAUUAUCAUCACAUAUCAGAUCCUGAGCAGAAACAAGAAAUUGCAGUGCUCUAUCUUCAAGAGCUUUAAAUCUUGAGGGACCUGUGUGUGUGCAUCUAUUAGAUUCAUGGACAAAGAAGCAAAUUUUUCUUCAAUGGCCCCACCAGCUUUCGAUGGAGAAAAUUAUCAGAUCUGGGAUGUUAGAAUGCAGACAUAUCUGGAAGCUUUGGAUCUCUGGGAGGCUGUAGAAGAUGAAUACGAGAUUACUCCCUUUCCAAACAAUCCUGUUUCUAUUAUGAUUGGGUUGCAUUAGGGACCAGCUCUUAGCCCGUUUCUAUUCGCCCUGGUGAUGGAUGAAUUGACGCGACAAAUACAAGGUAAGGUGCCUUGGUGUAUGUUGUUCGCGGAUGACAUAGUCCUGAUUGACGAGACUCGCAACGGAGUUAACGAUAAGCUAGAGGGCUGGAGACAGACGUUGGAGUCUAAAGGAUUUAAAUUGAGUAGGACCAAGACAGAAUACUUGGAGUGCAAGUUCCGUGGCCUACCACGUGAGGCUGACGAGGAAGUGAGGCUUGGUACCCAGGCCAUUCAAAAGAAAGGAAGUUUCAAGUAUCUUGGGUCUAUUAUACAGGGAGAUGGGGAUAUCGACGAUGAUGUUUCACAUCGUAUUGGUGCAGGGUGGAUGAAAUGGAGGCUCACCUCCGGAGUGCUGUGUGAUAAGAAAGUGCCACCAAAACUUAAAGGCAAGUUCUACAAAAUGGUGGUUAGACCGACCUUAUUGUACAGGGCGGAGUAUUGGCCAGUCAAGAAAUCUCACGUUCAGAAGAUGAAAGUCGCGGAAAUGCGAAUGCUGCGGUGGAUGUGUGGGCACACUAGGAGGGAUAGAAUUAGGAAUAAAGAUAUUUGAGACAAUGUGGGAGUGGCAUCGGUGGAAGUCAAGAUGCGGGAAGCGAGGCUGAGAUGGUUUGGGCAUGUGAAGAGGAGAGACACAGAUGCCCCAGUGCGGAGGUGUGAGAGAUUGGCUAUGGACGGUUUCAGGAGAGGAAAAGGGAGGUCGAAGAAGUAUUGGGGAGAGGUAAUUAGACAGGAUAUGGCACAGUUUCAGCUCACCGAGGACAUGACCUUAGAUAGGAGGUUGUGGAGGACUCAGAUUAGGAUAGAAGGCUAGGUGGCUAAUCCUUUCACCAUAGUAGUUGUAGUUUUGCUCAUUUGUUUAUUGUCAUUUGAUUUCUGCAUUUGAUUGCUGCUUAUAUUUGUUGGGCCGUUGUACUUUGGUUAUCUUAGUUAUCUAUAGUAGUUAAUGCUCCUUUCUUUC
Molecule: long non-coding RNA, 2008 nt
Organism: Lycium barbarum (goji berry)
Lineage: Eukaryota; Viridiplantae; Streptophyta; Magnoliopsida; Solanales; Solanaceae
Exons: 2
Source: RefSeq, a predicted model, not a curated record